GCUAUUUUGGUGGAAUUGGUAGACACGAUACUCUUAAGAUGUAUUGUCGCAAGACAUAUAGGUUCAAAUCCUAUAAGUAGCA
RNAcentral lists this transfer RNA (82 nucleotides) under Hanseniaspora osmophila. It matches the Rfam family "tRNA". Rfam says of the family: Transfer RNA (tRNA) molecules are approximately 80 nucleotides in length. Their secondary structure includes four short double-helical elements and three loops (D, anti-codon, and T loops). Lineage: Eukaryota; Fungi; Ascomycota; Saccharomycetes; Saccharomycodales; Saccharomycodaceae. The record is from Rfam by way of RNAcentral.